GCCAGUGUGGUGGAAUUGGUAGACGCGUCGGACUCAAAAUCCGAUGAGGUAAUACUCGUGAGGGUUCGAGUCCCUCCACUGGCACCA
RNAcentral lists this transfer RNA (87 nucleotides) under Mycoplasmatota bacterium. Its description in RNAcentral is "Tenericutes bacterium (anaerobic digester metagenome) tRNA-Leu". It matches the Rfam family "tRNA". Rfam says of the family: Transfer RNA (tRNA) molecules are approximately 80 nucleotides in length. Their secondary structure includes four short double-helical elements and three loops (D, anti-codon, and T loops). Further hydrogen bonds mediate the characteristic L-shaped molecular structure. tRNAs have two regions of fundamental functional importance: the anti-codon, which is responsible for specific mRNA codon recognition, and the 3' end, to which the tRNAs corresponding amino acid is attached (by aminoacyl-tRNA synthetases). tRNAs cope with the degeneracy of the genetic code in two manners: having more than one tRNA (with a specific anti-codon) for a particular amino acid; and 'wobble' base-pairing, i.e. permitting non-standard base-pairing at the 3rd anti-codon position. Lineage: Bacteria; Bacillati; Mycoplasmatota. The record is from RNAcentral.